This is a non-coding RNA of Desulfomicrobium orale DSM 12838, 73 nucleotides long. NCBI's taxonomy places the organism in Bacteria, Pseudomonadati, Thermodesulfobacteriota, Desulfovibrionia, Desulfovibrionales, Desulfomicrobiaceae. The record is from Rfam.
GCUGGCGUAGCUCAAUUGGUAGAGCAGCUGACUUGUAAUCAGCAGGUUGCGGGUUCAAGUCCCAUCGCCAGCU